RNAcentral lists this ribosomal RNA (497 nucleotides) under uncultured bacterium. Its description in RNAcentral is "partial 16S ribosomal RNA". It matches the Rfam family "Bacterial small subunit ribosomal RNA", at positions 28 to 507 of the family's 1533-position model. The record is from RNAcentral.
GAUGAACGCUGGCGGCGUGCCUAAUACAUGCAAGUCGAGCGAACAGACGAGGAGCUUGCUCCUCUGACGUUAGCGGCGGACGGGUGAGUAACACGUGGAUAACCUACCUAUAAGACUGGGAUAACUUCGGGAAACCGGAGCUAAUACCGGAUAAUAUAUUGAACCGCAUGGUUCAAUAGUGAAAGACGGUUUUGCUGUCACUUAUAGAUGGAUCCGCGCCGCAUUAGCUAGUUGGUAAGGUAACGGCUUACCAAGGCGACGAUGCGUAGCCGACCUGAGAGGGUGAUCGGCCACACUGGAACUGAGACACGGUCCAGACUCCUACGGGAGGCAGCAGUAGGGAAUCUUCCGCAAAGGGCGAAAGCCUGACGGAGCAACGCCGCGUGAGUGAUGAAGGUCUUCGGAUCGUAAAACUCUGUUAUUAGGGAAGAACAAAUGUGUAAGUAACUAUGCACGUCUUGACGGUACCAAAUCAGAAAGCCACGGCUAACUACGUG